This 1711-nucleotide long non-coding RNA is filed under the name Homo sapiens (human). RNAcentral's name for it is "HSALNT0305963". The record is from RNAcentral. Lineage: Eukaryota; Metazoa; Chordata; Mammalia; Primates; Hominidae.
GUGGAAAAGUCCUAGACUUGGAGUUUUCUCAGAAUCUUCUGAGAGACUGAGUCUCGGGGCCGUAUUUCCUCUAUCAGGAAACUUGGCCAGUUGUAUUAGCUUUUCAUGGAGGCUUUCAGAUCCCAAAUUCUAUGGUACUUCAGGAGACACUCCGUGGACCAGAAAGCACCCUCCACCCCUUAAAAGACCUGGUUCCACUCGCCCUGUGUCUCUGACACUGAUAUGAUGUAGUCUGGAAGGAGUGGUUUUAUUUAUCUGAGGAUCUGUUUCCUUGUUAUUAAAUGGCAAUGUGUCUAACGCCUCUGCCUACUUCAGAAACACCCUGAAGGUCUAAUGAGAUAUCAAGCUAAAAAGCUCUUUUUUUGCUUUUUACACAAAGAGGCUUAAUAGACAAAAUAGAGUAACAUGGCAGACGGCUCACAGACAUAUCACAUCCUGCUUAAAAUCCAAGGUUUCCAGAGUGAGGAAAAGAGGACCAAUCAGAGACUCUUGUACAGUCAUUUCCUAGGUAACACUCGAACUGACAAACAAAUCCUACUGUAAGCAGGAGAUGGAAAGGAUAAGCUGCCCGUGCUUCCAGAGGUUUACGUGGUUAGCACCCUCCAGCCUGUGCCACCUGCUGGCACUUCAUGGGUGUUUCUGGCAACUGCAUGAGAUCGGCCGUGGUUCAGCAAAGGCUCCUCUUGCUAUCUGCCUCUGGUUAUGCUCAAGAAGGAACCUACGGCAUUACCCAUCCUGAGCUGAGAAGAGCGUCCCUGAAGGCAUUUCAUGGACUGUUUGAUACGGCUUAAUCUUCUAGAACCAGAGGCGCCAAAAGGCCCACCAACUUGCUUGGAAGCCUCUCCUCUACUCCAACAGCCAUCAUUUUUGCUCAGGAGCAUGGAAUCCCAUCUGAGGCUCCUACAGGAACACCACCAACCUCUACACGGCCUGCAGAGCCAGCCUGGCCUCAAGAGCAGGACACACCAGAAAACACCUGUUGAAUGGAUGCACCAGUGAACAGAGAUGGCCACCUCGCCAGAGCCACAAUCCAUGGGGACUGGAGACCAAAUGACGCUAAUGACUGCAGGGAAAUGAACAACUGAGAGGGGCUCCCUUUUAUCACUGGAGGGAAGCUGCUUGGUUCUAGUGAAUGGGAAGGAAUUGUAGGCAAAAACUCAGGGAGGAGACAGACAAGGAGAGCUUGGAAGGGGAACCUUACUAAUUAAGACAGAGAAAACAAAAUUUUGCUAAGCAUCAUUUCUGACUUACAACACAAAGUCAUUUUUCCUUUCUUCCUUGUCCCUCCUCCUUUGCUCUCCCUAUUCCUUCCCUCCUUCUACCCAGAGACUUCCACGUAAACAGGACACAAAAGCAUGACAGAGACCACAGGUGCACACAGAACCUGUGGCCCCCUCUGCAGCUCCGCCUGGAAGUGCCUCCUCUUCCCACGCCUCCUCCCACUCAUCGCCUGCCUUGCCCACAACCACCCUUCCUUCAGAUGUCGCAUGGAGUGUCUGCUUACUGGGGAAGGUCCCCACAUACCUCCCCCUACUCCAGGCUUGACAAAAAAAGCUCCUCUGUGUUCUCAUGUGAUCGUGUCUAUUAUAGCUGUUAUCACUACAUAUUUAAUGUAGCAGCUAAUGAGUCUCUCCCCCAACUGUGCUCCUUGGUAGCAAAAGCCAAGUCCUCUAAGAAGUAAAAGGCUUUGCAGUGCAAUGCAAAAACUCUA